UUAAUGUUAUUUUGGCAGAUUAGUGCAUUAAAUUUAGAAUUUAAUUAUGUGUAUAUUACAAAUAAUAC
Molecule: transfer RNA, 68 nt
Filed under: Hydraena cf. cyclops MNCN AI418
Lineage: Eukaryota; Metazoa; Arthropoda; Insecta; Coleoptera; Hydraenidae
Description: transfer RNA-Leu
Source: RNAcentral